AGGCUUUAACAUAUUUUGGGAUCAUCUUAUUUUCAUGAAAAAUAAUUUAAGUUCUGUUUGACAAGAAUUUGUAUUGAGUAUAUGCUGAUCUUAUGAUGUGGUGGAAAAUUUUCUGAUUCAUUCAUUUGUAGCCUUCAAUAUCACUUAGAACUUCUAAUAUGCAAUAUCUUCAUGUUUCAGGUUGGCAAGUUGUCUACUGGAG
Molecule: unclassified non-coding RNA, 202 nt
Filed under: Hevea brasiliensis (rubber tree)
Lineage: Eukaryota; Viridiplantae; Streptophyta; Magnoliopsida; Malpighiales; Euphorbiaceae
Source: RNAcentral